Molecule: ribosomal RNA, 432 nt
Filed under: uncultured bacterium
Lineage: Bacteria
Description: bacterial SSU rRNA
Rfam family: Bacterial small subunit ribosomal RNA
Source: RNAcentral
AAUCAACGCUGGCGGCGUGCCUCAGACAUGCAAGUCGAACGAGAACCUCCCUUCGGGGAGGGGACAGUGGCGCACGGGUGAGUAACACGUGGGUAAUUUACCUUUGGGUGGGGAACAACAGCCGGAAACGGCUGCUAAUACCGCAUAAUGCAGCGGCUCGACAUCGAGACAGUUGUUAAAGCGGGGGAUCGCAAGACCUCGCGCCUGAAGAGAAGCCUGCGGCGGAUUAGCAGUUGGUAGGGUAAUGGCCUACCAAGGCGACGAUCUGUAACCGGCCUGAGAGGGCGGUCGGUCACACUGACACUGACAUACGGGUCAGACUCCUACGGGAGGCAGCAGUCGGGAAUUUUGGGCAAUGGGCGAAAGCCUGACCCAGCAACGCCGCGUGAAGGAUGAAGCUUUUCGGAGUGUAAACUUCAUAAGAAUGGGAAG